Long non-coding RNA from Cyprinodon tularosa, 255 nucleotides. RefSeq lists it as uncharacterized. Lineage: Eukaryota; Metazoa; Chordata; Actinopteri; Cyprinodontiformes; Cyprinodontidae. The transcript is spliced from 3 exons. The record is from RefSeq and is a predicted model, not a curated record.
CCCGCACUGGCAAAACUUCUGAAUUGCUAAGAAACAUCUUCAGGACCUAUGAUCUCCUUACGUCGAUGUUAACAGCAGACACACAAUUACUCUGCAGGCACUUCCCAUCUUCCUGCGUGAAGAUGCUGCUGGAUUUUUUAAGACCUGGAAUGCAGAAGACAUUGACCUGCCAGACCUCUCGGAUACAACUGUAGCUGUUCUCACUGUCUCGAAUGAUACAGUCUCUCUUGUGAAGUUUGGUCCUGCAACACAUUC